Molecule: ribosomal RNA, 280 nt
Filed under: uncultured Afipia sp.
Lineage: Bacteria; Pseudomonadati; Pseudomonadota; Alphaproteobacteria; Hyphomicrobiales; Nitrobacteraceae
Description: partial 16S ribosomal RNA
Rfam family: Bacterial small subunit ribosomal RNA
Source: RNAcentral
AGCGAACGCUGGCGGCAGGCUUAACACAUGCAAGUCGAGCGGGCGUAGCAAUACGUCAGCGGCAGACGGGUGAGUAACACGUGGGAACGUACCUUUUGGUUCGGAACAACUGAGGGAAACUUCAGCUAAUACCGGAUAAGCCCUUACGGGGAAAGAUUUAUCGCCGAAAGAUCGGCCCGCGUCUGAUUAGCUAGUUGGUGAGGUAACGGCUCACCAAGGCGACGAUCGGUAGCUGGUCUGAGAGGAUGAUCAGCCACACUGGGACUGAGACACGGCCCAG